This is a non-coding RNA of Caerostris darwini, 111 nucleotides long. The record is from the annotation of a GenBank genome assembly. NCBI's taxonomy places the organism in Eukaryota, Metazoa, Arthropoda, Arachnida, Araneae, Araneidae.
ACGGCCAUACCAUGCUGAAUAUACCGGCCCUCGUUCGAUCACCGAAGUCAAGCAUAAUCGGGCGCGGUCAAUACUUGGGAGGGUGACAACAUGGCAACAAGGCGUGUCGUU